AUGUGGGAAAACCACUACUCCUGACAAAGAGGCAUUCAAGCUGGCUCCUUGUGCAUCAGCAGCACAGGAUGAGAAUGCUUCAGUUUCUAGCCAAUGUUGCGCCCAGGUUAAGAAAAUUGAACAGAAUCCAGCCUGCCUAUGCACUGUUAUGCUUCGAACACAGCUAAGAUCUCUGGAAUCGACCCAGAAAUUGCAAUGACAAUUCCCAAACGUUGCAACAUUGCUGAUCGUCCUGUGGGCUACAAGUGUGGAGCUUACACUUUACCCUGAAGAAUGAAUAGCAUGAACAGCGCUCCCCCUGUAAUGUACUUCUACCAACCUGCUGGAGUUCAUAUUCUUGUCGCUAGUUCUUCUAGCUACCAAAUUUAAUGUAACAUCCAGACAUCUGAAUAAUAAAUAAACUGUUGGUGUUUAA
Molecule: long non-coding RNA, 415 nt
Organism: Populus nigra (black poplar)
Lineage: Eukaryota; Viridiplantae; Streptophyta; Magnoliopsida; Malpighiales; Salicaceae
Exons: 2
Source: RefSeq, a predicted model, not a curated record